Molecule: ribosomal RNA, 467 nt
Filed under: uncultured bacterium
Lineage: Bacteria
Description: partial 16S ribosomal RNA
Rfam family: Bacterial small subunit ribosomal RNA
Source: RNAcentral
ACGAACGCUGGCGGCGUGCUUAACACAUGCAAGUCGAACGGAAAGGCCCUGCUUUUGUGGGGUGCUCGAGUGGCGAACGGGUGAGUAACACGUGAGUAACCUGCCUUUGACUUUGGGAUAACUUCAGGAAACUGGGGCUAAUACCGGAUAGGAGCUCCUGCUGCAUGGUGGGGGUUGGAAAGUUUCGGCGGUUGGGGAUGGACUGGCGGCUUAUCAGCUUGUUGGUGGGGUAGUGGCUUACCAAGGCUUUGACGGGUAGCCGGCGUGAGGGGGUGACCUGCCACAUUGGGACUGAGAUACGGCCCAGACUCCUACGGGAGGCAGCAGUGGGGAAUAUUGCACAAUGGGCUGAACCCUGAUGCAGUAACGCCGCGUGCGGGAUGACGGCCUUCGGGUUGUAAUCCGCUUUCGCCUGUGACGAAGCUUGAUUGACGGUAAUGGGUAAAGAAGCACCGGCUAACUACGUG